Molecule: ribosomal RNA, 350 nt
Filed under: uncultured bacterium
Lineage: Bacteria
Description: bacterial SSU rRNA
Rfam family: Bacterial small subunit ribosomal RNA
Source: RNAcentral
ACAGGUGGUGCAUGGUUGUCGUCAGCUCGUGUCGUGAGAUGUUGGGUUAAGUCCCGCAACGAGCGCAACCCUCGUCGUUAGUUACCAGCAUUUUAGGAUGGGGACUCUAAAGAGACUGCCAGCGAUAAGCCGGAGGAAGGUGGGGAUGACGUCAAAUCAUCAUGCCCCUUAUGACCUGGGCUACACACGUGCUACAAUGGGUGGUACAAAGGGAAGCGAAGCGGUGACGUGGAGCAAAUCCCAAAAAGCCACUCUCAGUUCGGAUUGUAGUCUGCAACUCGACUACAUGAAGUCGGAAUCGCUAGUAAUCGUGGAUCAGCAUGCCACGGUGAAUACGUUCCCGGGUCUUG